This 1612-nucleotide small RNA is filed under the name Rattus norvegicus (Norway rat). Its description in RNAcentral is "uncharacterized LOC102553750". The record is from RNAcentral. Lineage: Eukaryota; Metazoa; Chordata; Mammalia; Rodentia; Muridae.
AAUGCUGAACAUUUCUCUCCACCCGGCUCCUCCCGCAAACCCUGCCUGGACAUGUCAUCCCCAAACCUGGCACAUGGGCAGCUUUCUCUUUGGGAAGGUUUUAUGAGCAUCUCCACAGGAAUAAUAACAGAAAACCAGGACACGGGGACGGGAGAGCCGUUCCAGGAGUCCCUCCAGCUGUGUCCUUACCCACAUCUCUGGCUCACAAUGCACUGUAACAUGCAGACUCCUCUCAACAACCUUCUUCCUGUCUCCUGAUUCUCCUCUCCUUCUUUCGGGGCAAUGACUCCUGCCAUCAGGUGGCAGACCCUCCGUGUGACCUCAGCACUGACGUGACUACCAUCCUAUCUCCUCUCCACUCUUCAGCUCUUGGCUGAUGACCAGAUUCCUCCCACUGUGACACAGGAAAGUCCAAGGUGAGUCCUAACUGUAGGCCAAAGUCCAUGUGUGCGCUGUGUCUGGUCCAGAUGAAAGGGUGCUAUUUAUCCGAGAUUGACAUUCUACUUCUUGCUUUACCUUUCUAACUGUCUCUUUGUGCCUUCGUUCCCAACCUUCCAAGGUCCAAGUAUACACGUUAAACUUCCUUCAUUUCUUCUCCUAUCUGUUUAACUAGAGGUAACUUCAGAGUAGUUAAAUUCUUCCAGUACUGAAUGUCUAGUUUCUAGUCCAUGUAACUGCAGAAGAGACAUGAUUUUAUAAUACUUAUCGAUUUAAACUUUGAUUAACUCACACAAGCCUUUGUAAUCAGACGGCUUUCUCUUCAUCUAAAUCAGCCAUCUCGUGCAGCAGGUGGAGAUCAGAUAACAGAGCAAGCAGACCACAGAAAGGGCUUGCCCAGUGCAGUCUGCUCAAUGCUGAGCUUAACAAGUCCCUGUUUUCAUCAACUGGUUAGAGAAUUUAUUCAUUCCCUACGCACUUGAUAAUAAUGUAACCUGGACAUCUGUUGUGUUUAGAUACAGUAACUACAUGAUCAUUUUCAAUGAGGCUAUCAGGCCUUUCAGGAAAAAACAAUCUCAGACUAACACGGUCUAUCUUAUAAUAUUGGCCAGCUCAGCUCAUGUCUGUUUGGCUUCACUGUGAGUAAAGAGAGAAUUCCAAAGCUACUGAUUGACCUUCUUCUGUGUUCUACUCAGGAAACAUAAGUUAAGCAGGAACACGAGAGUUGGCUAGGGGAGCUCAAAGAUCUCCAUCAAAGUAGCUGGGGCUACUUAGAAGGAAUCGGGUAACUGCUGGAGCUGGCGCUGUGCAAGCAACUUCACUAGUAGAGAUGCCACAUCAAGACAAGGAGGAGAAAUGCUGGUCUGUCCGUUGUUUACAAGGAGACAGAGCUGACCUGGCUCUUCAAACACGGGACAGGAGACACAGACACUACAAAAGUAUCGACUCACAAUAGAUACUUAUAGAGGAGUGGGAUUUCAUGACCAUCUCCACUCUCCAUGUCAGGUCUUACGCAUGUUGUCAGGUAUGUACAAGUGCCCUAACACAUCCAGAAAACAUUGUUUCCUCAUGGUCAUAUACCCCCUCUGGCAUUUGCAAUAUCUCUGCCCCCCUUUUCACAAUAAUCCCUGAGGCUUAAGAUAAGGGGAAGUAAUAUAGAUGUCUCAUUUGAGAC